AUUGAACGCUGGCGGCAUGCUUUACACAUGCAAGUCGAACGGCAGCGCGGGCUUCGGCCUGGCGGCGAGUGGCGAACGGGUGAGUAAUACAUCGGAACGUGCCCAGUAGUGGGGGAUAGCUCGGCGAAAGCCGGAUUAAUACCGCAUACGACCUGAGGGUGAAAGCGGGGGAUCUUCGGACCUCGCGCUAUUGGAGCGGCCGAUGGCAGGUUAGCUAGUUGGUGGGGUAAAGGCCUACCAAGGCGACGAUCUGUAGCUGGUCUGAGAGGACGACCAGCCACACUGGGACUGAGACACGGCCCAGACUCCUACGGGAGGCAGCAGUGGGGAAUUUUGGACAAGGGGCGAAAGCCUGAUCCAGCAAUGCCGCGUGUGUGAUGAAGGCCUUCGGGUUGUAAAGCACUUUUGGCGGGAACGAAAAGGACUGUGCCAAUACCACGGUUCGAUGACGGUACCCGCAGAAUAAGCGCCGGCUAACUACGUG
This 484-nucleotide ribosomal RNA is filed under the name uncultured bacterium. RNAcentral's name for it is "partial 16S ribosomal RNA". It matches the Rfam family "Bacterial small subunit ribosomal RNA", at positions 29 to 507 of the family's 1533-position model. The record is from RNAcentral.